RNAcentral lists this RNase P RNA (356 nucleotides) under pig gut metagenome. RNAcentral describes it as "Bacterial RNase P class A". It matches the Rfam family "Bacterial RNase P class A". From Rfam's summary of the family: Ribonuclease P (RNase P) is a ubiquitous endoribonuclease, found in archaea, bacteria and eukarya as well as chloroplasts and mitochondria. The record is from RNAcentral.
GUAGUCGGGUAAUCGCGCUUUUCGCAAGAUGAGUGAGGAAAGUCCGUGCAUCCCAGAACAGACCGCCGGAGAAACUCCGGGCGUCGUGAGGCGGCGGAUAGUGCCACAGAAAUGUAGACUGCCGAUGACUGAAAUUCUUGAAUAGAGUUACAGCACAGGCGAUGGUGCAACGGUGAGUUAAGAGCUUCACCGGCGAUAUCGGAAGGUAUCGGCCAGGUAAACCCCGGUCGGAUGCAAGAUUGAAUUGAAGGUUAAGAGGUUGUUCGCCCACUUCAGACAAAUCGCUAGAGCUUAGGAGUAAUCCUAUUCCCAGACAGAUGAUUACCUAAAACAGAACACGGCUUACAGACUGCUUU